GUGAGGAAUCUUCCACAAUGGGCGAAAGCCUGAUGGAGCAACGCCGCGUGAAGGAUGAAGGUCUUCGGAUUGUAAACUUCUUUUAUGAGUGAAGAAUAUGACGGUAACUCAUGAAUAAGCACCGGCUAACUACGUGCCAGCAGCCGCGGUCAUACGUAGGGUGCAAGCAUUAUCCGGAGUGACUGGGCGUAAAGAGUUGCGUAGGCGGUUAUGUAAGCGAAUAGUGAAACCUGGUGGCUCAACCACACAGACUAUUAUUCGAACUGCAUAACUAGAGAAUGGUAGAGGUAACUGGAAUUUCUUGUGUAGGAGUGAAAUCCGUAGAUAUAAGAAGGAACACCAAUGGCGUAGGCAGGUUACUGGGCCAUUUCUGACGCUAAGGCACGAAAGCGUGGGGAGCGAACCGGAUUAGAUACCCCUGUAGUCC
Molecule: ribosomal RNA, 427 nt
Filed under: uncultured bacterium
Lineage: Bacteria
Description: partial 16S ribosomal RNA
Rfam family: Bacterial small subunit ribosomal RNA
Source: RNAcentral